RNAcentral lists this long non-coding RNA (835 nucleotides) under Mytilus galloprovincialis (Mediterranean mussel). Lineage: Eukaryota; Metazoa; Mollusca; Bivalvia; Mytilida; Mytilidae. The record is from RNAcentral.
UAAACAGGGAAAUUUUCGCGAUAUUUUGAUUUUCGCUAUUUUUCGCGGUAAAAAUUGAAACACGAAAAUAAAACGACCGUGAAAAUAUCAAGGAAACUCUUUUUAUAACAUUUACUUUUACCAGGUGUGACUUGAAUGGAGAGUUGUCUCAUUGGCACUCAUACCAUAUCUUCUAAUAUCUACGUAUAUAAGAAGAAUAUCUAUAGGACUACUGUAUAACACUGAUUUUAUAAACGACACAUAUAUAACUGAAAUCAUAGCUAUAUCUUCUAAUGAAAAGAAAUGUUAGAAGUAAUGAAUUUAACGCUAAUCAUUACAUCAUAAACACGGAAGUCAACAUUACGGAUAUUGUUAUGUAAAUAAACUCAUCAUAGAUACCAGGACGAAAUUUUAUAUAUACGCCAGACGCGCGUUUCGUCUACAAAAAACUCAUCAGUGACGCUCCAAUCCAAAAAGUAAAAAAAAAAAUAGCCAAAUAAAGAACGAAGUUGAAGAGCAUUGAGAUCCAAAAUUCCUAACAGUGUUGCCAAAUACAUCUAAGGUAAUCUAUGCCUGAGGUAGAAAAACAAAACUCGUUACAAAUAUGUAAAUGACACAGGUCAAUCAGUAAUAAAAAUAUAACCUCGUUUAAUCUACUACAGAGAACAAUUAGAUAAAAAGAUCGACUAAUUAGCAUUAAUCCUGACAGCAUUUUAUUUUAAUUAGGUCCUAAUUAGUAGAAAUAGGAAGAUGUGGUGUGAGUGCCAAUGAGACAACUCUCCAUCUAAAUAACAAUCUAUAAAAGUAAACCAUUACAGGUCUACUUUUCUGUUAUUGUGUAUGUGUUUUUACAAGC